This 318-nucleotide ribosomal RNA is filed under the name uncultured Bacteroidota bacterium. RNAcentral describes it as "bacterial SSU rRNA". It matches the Rfam family "Bacterial small subunit ribosomal RNA", at positions 28 to 351 of the family's 1533-position model. Lineage: Bacteria; Pseudomonadati; Bacteroidota. The record is from RNAcentral.
GAUGAACGCUAGCGGGAGGCUUAACACAUGCAAGUCGAGGGGUAUAAUAGCAAUAUUAGAGACCGGCGGACGGGUGCGUAACGCGUAUGCAACUUGCCUUAUACAGGGGGAUAGCCCGUGGAAACGCGGAUUAAUACUCCAUAGUUCAAAGUUAUCGCAUGGUAACAUUGAUAAAGCUGAGGUGGUAUAAGAUAGGCAUGCGUCUGAUUAGUUUGUUGGUAGGGUAACGGCCUACCAAGGCGACGAUCAGUAGGGGUUCUGAGAGGAACAACCCCCACACUGGUACUGAGACACGGACCAGACUCCUACGGGAGGCUG